Molecule: ribosomal RNA, 554 nt
Filed under: uncultured bacterium
Lineage: Bacteria
Description: bacterial SSU rRNA
Rfam family: Bacterial small subunit ribosomal RNA
Source: RNAcentral
CNUGAGGGAUGAAGGUCUUCGGAUUGUAAACCUCUUUCAGUAGGGAAGAAGCGAAGUGACGGUACCUAAAGAAGAAGCACCGGCUAACUAUGUGCCAGCAGCCGCGGUAAUACAUAGGGUGCAAGCGUUGUCCGGAAUUAUUGGGCGUAAAGAGCUCGUAGGUCGUUAAUCACGUCGGAUGUGAAAAUCUGAGGCUCAACCUCAGACCUGCAUUCGAUACGGGUUAACUAGAGUGUGGUAGGGGAGACUGGAAUUCCUGGUGUAGCGGUGGAAUGCGCAGAUAUCAGGAGGAACACCAAUGGCGAAGGCAGGUCUCUGGGCCAUUACUGACACUGAGGAGCGAAAGUUCGGGGAGCGAACAGGAUUAGAUACCCUGGUAGUCCGAACCGUAAACGGUGGACGCUAGUUGUGGGAACCUUCCACGGUUUCCGCGACGCAGCUAACGCAUUAAGCGUCCCGCCUGGGGAGUACGAUCGCAAGAUUAAAACUCAAAGGAAUUGACGGGGGCCCGCACAAGCAGCGGAGCAUGCGGCUUUAAUUCGACGCAACGCGAA